GUACAACUGAAUCAUUAAUCGCCAUGGAAAUAGGACAUCAAUAUUCUCAUGUUUGACUCUGGUAACCCAUGGUAACUGUGCUCCUUUUAUAAUUUGCAAGUGUCUAUUUUUCAUCUGACGAUGGAUUGUCCUGGGGACAAAAAAACAGAAGAAGAAGAAGGAAUAGCUGCAUUGGCAUCUGAACAUGUAUAGGGGGGUUCAGCAUUCAUUAUUCAAUAUUAGAAUUCUGACUUGAGCUCUUAGGAAAAAAAAAUAGAAAAGAUGACUCCAGGAAAGUAAUGAGGAUGCUGAAUGGUAUAAUGUUAUGGUAUUGAUGUCUGUGUCAGUGAGAGAUUGACAUGGAUUAGCAUCGAGGGAUAGAAAAACAUAAUGGCCGCCUCCGUUAAAGAUUCAGAGAUCAGCCCGACUCGUCACAAAACAAAACAAACCUUCACGUGUGCUCAUCUUGUACGUAAUGUUUUAGAUUUUUCUUUUUUUAUCCGUUUGCCCUUUAAUUAAAAUACUUUGUUUGUUUGUUUUACGUUGUUGAGAAAAAGACGUUGUAUGUGCCUAUACAUUUCACCUUUUGUUCUUAGUAUUUCUCUUUGUUGAUCUCUUUAUUUGUAUGGAGAUCUGUGUGAAAAUGUAAAAUGUGCUCUCUCUCUCUUUUUCCCCUCUCUUUGCCCUAAACGCAGGGUAACACAUGAUCUAUGACAUUCUAUCGACACGGUCUUCUCCUCUGGAAGACCGUCAGGCGAACAGAAACAUGGCUCGAUCUUUUUCUAGUGGAUAUUUUUACCAUGAACAGAAAGGAUGGCUGCAGCAAGACUACAUGGAAAAAAGGCUUGAGUCCCAAAUGGCAUUAUGUUCCCUAUGUAGUACACUACAUUUGGCUGGAGCCCUGGUCAUAAAGUAGUGCUCUAUAUAUAUAUAGAAUAGGAUACCAUUUAAGAUACAACCAAUGCUUUUGAUUUAUUUUAUUGCAUUGUACUGUUCCAUAGAGCAAUUGAAGGACAAAUUGCUAGUAAACUAUUUUUUUUAACCUUUAUUUCACUUGGCAAGUCAGUUAAGAACAAAUUCUUAUUUUCAAUGACGGCCUAGGAACAGUGGGUUAACUGCCUGUUCAGGGGCAGAACGACAGAUUUGUACCUUGUCAGCUCGGGGAUUCGAACUUGCAACCUUUCGGUUACUAGUCCAACGCGGGAACUUUAUAUGAUAACAUUUAAUAUAUUAUUUACAGCAUUACUCUUACUUUUAUUUAAUUUAUGAAAAACAAUUUCAUCAUUCUGGAAAUUUUUGUUUAGCUUAAGACAAAAAACAAAUAGGAAAACGUAUUCAAGUCUUUUUACUCAAUUUCUGUCUGAGAGGUGUCUGUCCCAUUGAAUAGCCUCUUCCUGUUGUCAUUUUCCCAUCAGCCACUUCAGGAUUACGGUAUCCAUAUUAGGAUAGAGUCACAAGGCGUUACUCCUAGUUAGGACACUGUACAGGGUAGCACUUCCUCUCAGAAAAGGAACACAUCCACAGUAACUUUGAGCUGCGAAAUGACAUAGACAAACUGUCUACAUUGUCCAUAUAUUUGAAUAACAAGUCAAAUUUGAAGUUGAAAGUUAGUCGAAAUUUGAAAGACCAAAUAGUUUGCGAUAGCUAGCUGUGCUCUGAGACUUUUCCCAGUCAGGACUGGACAAUAAAGGGCCUCUGUGUACUGGUUGUAAACAUAGAGGGAUUCAAGGCUUGAGUCCCAAAUUACACCCUAUUCCCUAUGUAGUGUACUACUUUUGACCAGGGCCCCAUAGGGAACAGGGUACCCUUUUGGGACUCCUCUCAAGGUGACCUUCAUUUAGCCAAAUGUGCUGACGAGAGAGCCGGUGUGUCUGUGAGAUAAUGGGAUAUUGGGUUUUACUAAUGAGAGAUCACUGUGCCAUUAAAAGGGUUGGAGCACCCAACCACCCAAUGAAUGUGGCCUUCAACACCUGUUAUGGAUUAAAGGCUAUGGUUAUAACCUGUUAUAGAUUAAAGGCUAUGGUUAUAACCUGUUCUACAUGAUAUGCUAUGGUUAUAACCUCUUAUGGAUGAUAUGCUAUGGUUAUAACCUCUUAUGGAUGAUAUGCUAUGGGUAUAACCCAUGGGUAUAACCCUAACUCAGGUGAGUUGGGUGCAGGCUGGGCUGAGGUGAGGUGGAGACAGGCAGAGUUAGAGACAGAUAGCAGGCUGGGCUGAAGUGAGGUGGAGACAGGUAGAGUUAGAGACAGAUAGCAGGCUGGGCUGAGGUGAGGUGGAGACUGAGGUGAGGUGAGGUAGAGAAUGAGGUGACAGUGAGAGCAGGUAUAGUUAGAGACAGAUAGCAGGCUGAGGUGAGGUGGAGACUGAGGUGACAGUGAGAGCAGGUAUAGUUAGAGACAGAUAGCAGGCUGAGGUGAGGUGGAGACUGAGGUGACAGUGAGAGCAGGUAUAGUUAGAGACAGAUAGCAGGCUGAGGUGAGGUGGAGACUGAGGUGAGGUGAGGUGAGGUGGAGACUGAGGUGACAGUGAGAGCAGGUAUAGUUAGAGACAGAUAGCAGGCUGAGGUGAGGUGGAGACUGAAGUGAGGUGGAGGCUGAGGUGACAGUGAGAGCAGGUAUAGUUAGAGACAGAUAGCAGGCUGAGGUGAUAGAUAGAUAGAUAGAUAGAUGGUGGUUCCUAACUGUUACGUGGUCGUGUAUACAACAGUACUAGUUAUAAUACAAGGAUGCGAGUUUUUCCCCACUGAACACUCUGAUGACUGUUGGGAAGGUGAAAUAUCCAGAAAGAAAGUCCCUAAGUACAUGUAUAUUAAAUGAAUCCUUAAAAUAUUUCCAAUUUUAGAAUUGUUAACCAAAUUAGAUUUAGAGAUUGCAAUAUUAAAGUGUACAUUUUUUUUGUUUGUUAAUUUGAAGUGAAGAAUGAGGAAACGAGACAUUUUUACACACCUUAUUAUUAUAUAGAGUAAGAAAACGUCUUCUUCUCCUCCUGGCUGUUUCUACCCACAACGUUGUAUACAAUUGCUGGUUUUGUAAUGCACUGUAGAGCAAAAGCAGUUCCACUGUUCUUUUUUUUAAAUAUAUAUAUAAAGAAAUGUUAUUUCAAUGGUCUAUUCUUUUUUUUUGUUUGUUUGAUAAAUACAGUUUUGAUACAAAA
Oncorhynchus tshawytscha (Chinook salmon) is the source of this 3132-nucleotide long non-coding RNA. NCBI's taxonomy places the organism in Eukaryota, Metazoa, Chordata, Actinopteri, Salmoniformes, Salmonidae. The record is from Ensembl.